This 253-nucleotide ribosomal RNA is filed under the name uncultured bacterium. RNAcentral's name for it is "partial 16S ribosomal RNA". It matches the Rfam family "Bacterial small subunit ribosomal RNA", at positions 524 to 776 of the family's 1533-position model. The record is from RNAcentral.
UACGUAGGUGGCAAGCGUUGUCCGGAUUUAUUGGGCGUAAAGGGAACGCAGGCGGUCUUUUAAGUCUGAUGUGAAAGCCUUCGGCUUAACCGGGGAGGGUCAUUGGAAACUGGGAGACUUGAGUGCAGAAGAGGAGAGUGGAAUUCCAUGUGUAGCGGUGAAAUGCGUAGAUAUAUGGAGGAACACCAGUGGCGAAGGCGGCUCUCUGGUCUGUAACUGACGCUGAGGCUCGAAAGCGUGGGGAGCGAACAGG